This 226-nucleotide ribosomal RNA is filed under the name uncultured bacterium. Its description in RNAcentral is "partial 16S ribosomal RNA". It matches the Rfam family "Bacterial small subunit ribosomal RNA", at positions 538 to 763 of the family's 1533-position model. The record is from RNAcentral.
GCGUUGUCCGGAUUUAUUGGGUUUAAAGGGUGCGUAGGUGGCUUGUUAAGUCCGGGGUGAAAGCCCACAGCUCAACUGUGGAACUGCCCUGGAUACUGGCGAGCUUGAGUCCAGACGAGGUUGGCGGAAUGGAAGCUGUAGCGGUGAAAUGCAUAGAUAGCUUCCAGAACCCCGAUUGCGUAGGCAGCUGACUAGGCUGGUACUGACACUGAGGCACGAAAGCGUG